This 254-nucleotide ribosomal RNA is filed under the name uncultured bacterium. Its description in RNAcentral is "partial 16S ribosomal RNA". It matches the Rfam family "Bacterial small subunit ribosomal RNA", at positions 524 to 776 of the family's 1533-position model. The record is from RNAcentral.
GACAGAGGCCUCAAGCGUUAGGCGGAAUCACUGGGCUUAAAGCGUGUGUAGGCGGAUCGUUAAGUGUCUUGUGAAAUCCCACGGCUCACCCGUGGAACUGCUGGGCAUACUGGGCGUCUUGGGCCAACUAGGGGCAGCCGGAACAAGCGGUGGAGCGGUGAAAUGCGUAGAGAUCGGCAGGAACACCCAGGGGGAAACCAGCCGACUGGGCAUCUGCUGACGCUGAGGUGCGAGAGCGUGGGGGAGCGAACCGG